CUUGAAUUACAGAGGAACAGAAGGCAUAUUAUGGUGGGAAUUUCAUCCAUUUCCUUAUAAUAACAUAAUCCAUAGAGAGUACCUCUUAAUAUGAAGGCAGAAAGGAUUUUGUCUACCACUUUUGAGGCAGAAGGCUUCCUGGCUCUACAAGCUAUACCCCUCUUUUCCAGAUCUCCCUCUCUUCAAUGAGACUUAAGAAACUCUCUGAGCCUCCUUCUCCCUGGAUUAUGGAAACUUCAGCCUGAAACCCUGCAGCGUGUCAAGAACAUAACCACCAUUGGCUCAUGUGAGUGGCAAGUCACACUAAUUGCAAGAGCUUCAGGCGUGGCUGGAUCCAGGAGCUCCAGCUAUAUACUUGUGAGUCUGACUCUCUCCAACUCUUGGUUCUCUUUCCUUUGCUUUUGGUUUCAUUCUGAAGUAGCAUCUCCCAGGUGAUGGUAAACAUGGCCAACACCAGUUAUAGGCCUACAUCCUACCAUUUGAGCAAAGCCAACAGGUAUUUAAUUUCCCUUCUCUAUAAAUUAAGAAAGCCUCUUUGAAAUUAAAGGGGCAAUUUGGAUUAAAAUCUAACUGAUCUCAGUUGAAUCACAAAUCAGUUCCUGAAUCAAUCAUUUGUGAUCUGGGAGAUGAAUAAAGGUGGUUGACCAUAAUGAA
Bos indicus x Bos taurus (hybrid cattle) is the source of this 654-nucleotide long non-coding RNA. NCBI's taxonomy places the organism in Eukaryota, Metazoa, Chordata, Mammalia, Artiodactyla, Bovidae. The record is from Ensembl.